Molecule: small nucleolar RNA, 139 nt
Organism: Amazona collaria (yellow-billed parrot)
Lineage: Eukaryota; Metazoa; Chordata; Aves; Psittaciformes; Psittacidae
Gene: SNORA75
Rfam family: Small nucleolar RNA SNORA75
About the family: U23 belongs to the H/ACA class of snoRNAs. snoRNAs bind a number of proteins (including dyskerin, Gar1p and Nop10p in the case of the H/ACA class) to form snoRNP complexes. This class are thought to guide the sites of modification of uridines to pseudouridines by forming direct base pairing interactions with substrate RNAs. Targets include ribosomal and spliceosomal RNAs as well as the Trypanosoma spliced leader RNA (SL RNA) as possibly other, still unknown cellular RNAs.
Source: Ensembl
CACUUCUCAAUGAGCUCCUUCCUGCCAACAAAUCCAUGGCAGCCUAUGGAUUCGCACGAGAAGAAUAUUAACUGUCCAGUGCUGGCAAACUCGCAACAGGACUCCAUCUGUUGUGGUCAGCCACUGCUGUUCCACAAGU